GAUGAACGCUGGCGGCGUGCCUAAUACAUGCAAGUCGAGCGAACAGACGAGGAGCUUGCUCCUCUGACGUUAUCGGCGGACGGGUGAGUAACACGUGGAUAACCUACCUAUAAGACUGGGAUAACUUCGGGAAACCGGAGCUAAUACCGGAUAAUAUAUUUAACCGCAUGGUUCAAUAGUGAAAGACGGUUUUGCUGUCACUUAUAGAUUGAUCCGCGCCGCAUUAGCUAGUUGGUAAGGUAACGGCUUACCAAGGCAACGAUGCGUAGCCGACCUGAGAGGGUGAUCGCCCACACUGGAACUGAGAAACGGUCCAGACUCCUACGGGAGGCAGAAGUAGGGAAUCUUCCGCAAUGGGCGAAAGCCUGACGGAGCAACGCCGCGUGAGUGAUGAAGGUCUUCGGAUCGUAAAACUCUGUUAUUAGGGAAGAACAAAUGUGUAAGUAACUAUGCACGUCUUGACGGUACCUAAUCAGAAAGCCACGGCUAACUACGUG
Molecule: ribosomal RNA, 497 nt
Filed under: uncultured bacterium
Lineage: Bacteria
Description: partial 16S ribosomal RNA
Rfam family: Bacterial small subunit ribosomal RNA
Source: RNAcentral